This is a non-coding RNA of Paramuricea clavata, 79 nucleotides long. The record is from the annotation of a GenBank genome assembly. NCBI's taxonomy places the organism in Eukaryota, Metazoa, Cnidaria, Anthozoa, Malacalcyonacea, Plexauridae.
UUUAUUGACUGUUUAUGAUUGAUGAUAAAAACAAUAAAUAUUUGCGUGUUUUUAUCAUCAAUCAUAAACAUUCAAUAAA